GCCGGUGUAGCUCAGUUGGUAGAGCAGCGCAUUCGUAAUGCGAAGGUCGGCGGUUCGAUUCCGUCCACCGGCACCA
RNAcentral lists this transfer RNA (76 nucleotides) under Rubrivivax sp. RNAcentral's name for it is "tRNA-Thr". It matches the Rfam family "tRNA". Rfam says of the family: Transfer RNA (tRNA) molecules are approximately 80 nucleotides in length. Their secondary structure includes four short double-helical elements and three loops (D, anti-codon, and T loops). The record is from RNAcentral. Lineage: Bacteria; Pseudomonadati; Pseudomonadota; Betaproteobacteria; Burkholderiales; Sphaerotilaceae.